RNAcentral lists this ribosomal RNA (390 nucleotides) under uncultured bacterium. Its description in RNAcentral is "bacterial SSU rRNA". It matches the Rfam family "Bacterial small subunit ribosomal RNA", at positions 28 to 419 of the family's 1533-position model. The record is from RNAcentral.
GACGAACGCUGGCGGCGUGCUUAACACAUGCAAGUCGAGCGGUAAGGCCCUUUCGGGGGUACACGAGCGGCGAACGGGUGAGUAACACGUGGGUGACCUGCCCUCAGCUCUGGGAUAAGCCUGGGAAACCGGGUCUAAUACUGGAUAUGACUCCAUGACGCAUGUUGUGGGGUGGAAAGCCUUGUGCGGCUGAGGAUGGGCCCGCGGCCUAUCAGCUUGUUGGUGGGGUGANGGCCUACCAAGGCGACGACGGGUAGCCGGCCUGAGAGGGCGACCGGCCACACUGGGACUGAGACACGGCCCAGACUCCUACGGGAGGCAGCAGUGGGGAAUCUUGCGCAAUGGGCGAAAGCCUGACGCAGCGACGCCGCGUGAGGGAUGACGGCCUGG